Molecule: transfer RNA, 73 nt
Filed under: Myotis brandtii (Brandt's bat)
Lineage: Eukaryota; Metazoa; Chordata; Mammalia; Chiroptera; Vespertilionidae
Rfam family: tRNA
About the family: Transfer RNA (tRNA) molecules are approximately 80 nucleotides in length.
Source: Rfam by way of RNAcentral
GCCGGUGUGGCUCAGUGGGUAGAGCAUCAGCCUGCAGACUGAAGGGUCCCAGGUUCGAUUCCGGUCAAGGACA